Molecule: non-coding RNA, 94 nt
Submitted as: unclassified sequences
Source: Rfam
CUGAUGGCGGCGUCUGGGUGGAAAUCGGAAUCAAUCGCCCUAUUCCCCUUCGCACCGGAGAAAAGUACUCGGUGGGGCAGCGCCUAAGUGUCAG